This 229-nucleotide ribosomal RNA is filed under the name Staphylococcus aureus. Its description in RNAcentral is "partial 16S ribosomal RNA". It matches the Rfam family "Bacterial small subunit ribosomal RNA", at positions 21 to 239 of the family's 1533-position model. The record is from RNAcentral. Lineage: Bacteria; Bacillati; Bacillota; Bacilli; Caryophanales; Staphylococcaceae.
GGCUCAGGAUGAACGCUGGCGGCGUGCCUAAUACAUGCAAGUCGAGCGAACGGACGAGAAGCUUGCUUCUCUGAUGUUAGCGGCGGACGGGUGAGUAACACGUGGAUAACCUACCUAUAAGACUGGGAUAACUUCGGGAAACCGGAGCUAAUACCGGAUAAUAUUUUGAACCGCAUGGUUCAAAAGUGAAAGACGGUCUUGCUGUCACUUAUAGAUGGAUCCGCGCUGC